UACGUAGGGUGCGAGCGUUGUCCGGAAUUAUUGGGCGUAAAGAGUUCGUAGGCGGUUUGUCGCGUCGGCCGUGAAAACUUGGGGCUUAACCCCAAGCCUGCGGUCGAUACGGGCAGACUUGAGUUCGGCAGGGGAGACUGGAAUUCCUGGUGUAGCGGUGAAAUGCGCAGAUAUCAGGAGGAACACCGGUGGCGAAGGCGGGUCUCUGGGCCGAUACUGACGCUGAGGAGCGAAAGCGUGGGGAGCGAACAGG
RNAcentral lists this ribosomal RNA (253 nucleotides) under uncultured bacterium. Its description in RNAcentral is "partial 16S ribosomal RNA". It matches the Rfam family "Bacterial small subunit ribosomal RNA", at positions 524 to 776 of the family's 1533-position model. The record is from RNAcentral.